This is a long non-coding RNA of Microtus oregoni (creeping vole), 498 nucleotides long. RefSeq lists it as uncharacterized. Lineage: Eukaryota; Metazoa; Chordata; Mammalia; Rodentia; Cricetidae. The record is from RefSeq and is a predicted model, not a curated record. The transcript is spliced from 3 exons.
UUGCUAGAAACGCUGCUUGGGACGGGGUUGGUUCUGGGUGUCAGGCUUGUUUUGGGACCAGGCAGGCAGUGACUCUGUAGAAAGGGCUGGUCUAGACAGCCCCAGUCCGGGCAGGUGCUUUGGGUAGGGGUUAGCUGUUGUCCUUGUACGGUGCCGCAGAAUCCACUGUGUUCUGGAUGUGAAUUGGGCAAGCAGUUCUCUUCCCUGGCUGUGACAAGAAGAUAGCAACAUUCUUGGGAGCGUUCUGGAAAGGUUUGACAGCUUCUCUUGCAGCUAGGAAUGAAUGACCCGUGAGCCGCGCAGGAACUGUAGGAGGGGGCUGCCGGACGUCUCUUCAGGACUCAGCUGCAAGGCACAUGUUCUUGAUUUCCACGUUCUGCCUGGCAUUCAGACGUGAUGGUUAAAGCAGCAAAGGCCAUCUUGAACCCGGAGCUGACCCUUCAAACCCAAAAGACAAAGGCGCCUGAGUCCUGGAGGUGGUGGAGGAGCCACACGGGU